RNAcentral lists this ribosomal RNA (494 nucleotides) under uncultured bacterium. RNAcentral's name for it is "partial 16S ribosomal RNA". It matches the Rfam family "Bacterial small subunit ribosomal RNA", at positions 28 to 507 of the family's 1533-position model. The record is from RNAcentral.
GACGAACGCUGGCGGCGCGCUUAACACAUGCAAGUCGAACGGAAAGGCCUGCUUUCCCUUGUGGAUUGCGGGUACUCGAGUGGCGAACGGGUGAGUAACACGUGAGUGAUCUGCCCCCAACUUGGGUAUAAGCCUGGGAAACUGGGUCUAAUUCCCGAUAGGACUGCAGGGUGGUGCCUGUGGUGGAAAACGAUUUUCUAGUGGUUGGGGAUGAGCUCGCGGCCUAUCAGCUUGUUGGUGGGGUAAUGGCCUACCAAGGCGGCGACGGGUAGCCGGCCUGAGAGGGUGGACGGCCACAUUGGGACUGAGAUACGGCCCAGACUCCUACGGGAGGCAGCAGUGGGGAAUAUUGCACAAUGGGCGGAAGCCUGAUGCAGCGACGCCGCGUGGGGGAUGACGGCCUUCGGGUUGUAAACUCCUUUCGACCGCGAGGAAGCCACCUGGGUGGAGGGGUGGUGACGGUAGUGGUAGAAGAAGCACCGGCUAACUACGUG